GACCCAGUAGCUCAGCCGGAUAGAGCAACGGCCUUCUAAGCCGUGGGCCGGGGGUUCGAAUCCCUCCUGGGUCGCCA
Molecule: transfer RNA, 77 nt
Filed under: Acidaminococcales bacterium
Lineage: Bacteria; Bacillati; Bacillota; Negativicutes; Acidaminococcales
Description: tRNA-Arg
Rfam family: tRNA
About the family: Transfer RNA (tRNA) molecules are approximately 80 nucleotides in length.
Source: RNAcentral